Molecule: small nucleolar RNA, 78 nt
Organism: Euleptes europaea (tarantolino)
Lineage: Eukaryota; Metazoa; Chordata; Lepidosauria; Squamata; Sphaerodactylidae
Product: small nucleolar RNA SNORD126
Exons: 1
Source: RefSeq, a predicted model, not a curated record
AGUCUGCUGUGAUGAUUUGCAUGUGAAGUCCGUGUUUCACCUGAUGAACCAUGAUUAUGCACAUGCUCUGAGCAGAUU